UAACGGCGAGUGAAGCGGCAAGAGCUCAAAUUUGAAAUCUGACCUUCUGGUCCGAGUUGUAAUUUGUAGAGGAUGUUUCGGGCAAGAUCUAGGCCUAAGUUCCUUGGAACAGGACGUCAUAGAGGGUGAGAAUCCCGUACGUGGCUCAUGAUCGCGCCCAUGUGAAACUCCUUCGACGAGUCGAGUUGUUUGGGAAUGCAGCUCAAAAUGGGUGGUAAAUUUCAUCUAAAGCUAAAUAUUGGCCAGAGACCGAUAGCGCACAAGUAGAGUGAUCGAAAGAUGAAAAGCACUUUGAAAAGAGAGUUAAAAAGCAUGUGAAAUUGUUGAAAGGGAAGCGCUUGCAGCCAGACUUGUUUGCAGGGUUCAGUCGUCGUUCUCGUCGGUGUAUUUCCCUGCUAUCAGGCCAGCAUCAGUUUUCGUGGAAGGUCAAAGGCCUUGGGAAUGUGACAUCCUUCUGGAUGUUUUAUAGCCCUCGGUGUAAUGCUUCCCACCUGGACUGAGGCACGCGUUCGCUAGGAUGCUGGCGUAAUGGCUGUAAGCGGCCCGUCUUGAAACACGGACCAAGGAGUCUAACAUCUAUGCGAGUAUUUGGGUGUCAAACCCAUAUGCGUAAUGAAAGUGAACGGAGGUGGGAGCCUUCCCGGCGCACCAUCGACCGAUCCUGAUGUCUUCGGAUGGAUUUGAGUAAGAGCAUAGCUGUUGGGACCCGAAAGAUGGUGAACUAUGCCUGAAUAGGGUGAAGCCAGAGGAAACUCUGGUGGAGGCUCGCAGCGGUUCUGACGUGCAAAUCGAUCGUCAAAUUUGGGUAUAGGGGCGAAAGACCAAUCGAACCAUCUGGUAGCUGGUUUCUGCCGAAGUUUCCCUCAGGAUAGCAGUAACGUUUUCAGUUUUAUGAGGUAAAGCGAAUGAUUAGAGGCCUUGGGGUUGAAACAACCUUAACCUAUUCUCAAACUUUAAAUAUGUAAGA
RNAcentral lists this ribosomal RNA (967 nucleotides) under Dactylospora sp. KLP-2013. Its description in RNAcentral is "eukaryotic LSU rRNA". It matches the Rfam family "Eukaryotic large subunit ribosomal RNA", at positions 84 to 1078 of the family's 3401-position model. The record is from RNAcentral. Lineage: Eukaryota; Fungi; Ascomycota; Eurotiomycetes; Sclerococcales; Dactylosporaceae.